RNAcentral lists this transfer RNA (72 nucleotides) under Stigeoclonium helveticum. RNAcentral describes it as "tRNA-Asn". It matches the Rfam family "tRNA". From Rfam's summary of the family: Transfer RNA (tRNA) molecules are approximately 80 nucleotides in length. Their secondary structure includes four short double-helical elements and three loops (D, anti-codon, and T loops). Further hydrogen bonds mediate the characteristic L-shaped molecular structure. tRNAs have two regions of fundamental functional importance: the anti-codon, which is responsible for specific mRNA codon recognition, and the 3' end, to which the tRNAs corresponding amino acid is attached (by aminoacyl-tRNA synthetases). tRNAs cope with the degeneracy of the genetic code in two manners: having more than one tRNA (with a specific anti-codon) for a particular amino acid; and 'wobble' base-pairing, i.e. permitting non-standard base-pairing at the 3rd anti-codon position. The record is from RNAcentral. Lineage: Eukaryota; Viridiplantae; Chlorophyta; Chlorophyceae; Chaetophorales; Chaetophoraceae.
UUCUAAAUAGCUCAGUGGUAGAGCGUACGGCUGUUAACCGUGUGGUCGUAGGUUCAAAUCCUACUUUAGGAG